Molecule: long non-coding RNA, 627 nt
Organism: Alnus glutinosa
Lineage: Eukaryota; Viridiplantae; Streptophyta; Magnoliopsida; Fagales; Betulaceae
Exons: 3
Source: RefSeq, a predicted model, not a curated record
GAGCGUGACAAGUACCCAGGGUGCUUGGCCUCCUUCCCAUUUAUCUCGAAACUUCUCUACUCUCUCUCACUCAACUCCAUCACUCUCUCUCACUGCACUGACCGGAUCAGAACUCCUGCGUCGCCCCCGCCCCCCACGCACCGUCGACGUCCACCACCACUGACACUCUGGCAACAAAGGCCGGACCACCGUCUACCUCACCUAGCUCUCGUGUCUCUCCCGUUUCAGCCUGACAUAGCAUGGUUGAAGGCACGGUGCGAUGGGCACCAAAUGACACGUACGAACAGGCGCUUGGCAAACCAGAGUACGCGGGAAGGGUUCGGUAAGUUGGGCUAAAUGUUUUGCCUAUGGGGGGGGAUGACGUAUUCAUACUACACCCCUUCACAAACCCCUUCACAGCCAUGAUCAUCUAGGCAAAGGUGGAGUUCCUCCUCACUGGACGAAAGGAUCGCAUCGAUGGAGUGUGAGUUAGAGACUGAGCGGUCAGCACGUCGGGCCUUGGAGUUGUGUUUUAACCAGAUUGAGUCACUGAAUGCCUCAGGACUAGUGCGUCCCAUGACCCCGGUCACUGAUUGCCUCAGGACUAGGAGCGGUUAUAUUCCCUGACCAAGUGGCCGGGUGUGCUAA